Bos taurus (domestic cattle) is the source of this 73-nucleotide non-coding RNA. The record is from Rfam. Lineage: Eukaryota; Metazoa; Chordata; Mammalia; Artiodactyla; Bovidae.
UCCCUGGUGGUCCAGUGGUCAGGACUCUGGUACUUUCACUGCCAUGACCUGGGUUCAAUCCCUGAUCAGUGAA